This 57-nucleotide transfer RNA is filed under the name Dipodomys ordii (Ord's kangaroo rat). It matches the Rfam family "tRNA", at positions 8 to 63 of the family's 71-position model. From Rfam's summary of the family: Transfer RNA (tRNA) molecules are approximately 80 nucleotides in length. Their secondary structure includes four short double-helical elements and three loops (D, anti-codon, and T loops). The record is from Rfam by way of RNAcentral. Lineage: Eukaryota; Metazoa; Chordata; Mammalia; Rodentia; Heteromyidae.
UGGCUCAGUGGUAGAGUACUUGCCUUGCAUGCAUGAGGCCCUGGGUUUGAUUCCUAA